GCCCACUCUAACAGGAGAACGGUACAGGCUGAGCGCGAGAAGAAGGAGGACAACGGGGAGCAGAGCUACUGCGGCUGAGCCAAAUGGAGAGAAGACGAUGUUGCAUUGACAGGUCCGAGAUAAAAUGCAAGAAGUUUGGCGAGAAAACAUGAUGCCUUUCUGUUCAGAUGACAAAGCUGGACAUCGCUUUUGGAUUUUGGAAGACACCACUGGUCAAAAGAUGAUGGAAGACUUCUUAGCUCCAUAUUAAUUAUGAACGUGUUCCACAUGCAUGCAACGAUGGAGGAAAAGUAAUGGAAGAAUCUAAUGGAAAUCAUUCAGAAAGGUCCACAGAAUCACCUUUAAAGACCUGGGUAUUGGUGAAACAGGAUGGAGAAGUUAUCAUGGUUCACUGUAACUGCAUGGCCGGGGAAGUGGUUUCGUGCUGUUAACUUCAUCUGUUGGUUUGUGGACGCUGUCAUGAGUGUUGGGAAAAGCAUACGGCUUGACCCCCUUCUGGACAAACAAGUGGAGACUACAGCUUUAUUAUGAAGAUGACGGCUGAUUUUUGCUUUUGGAUUUGCCAAAUAACUGUUUUUGUUUUCAAUGUAACUUUGAUUGCAGUUGUAUCCUGCUGGUUAAUGUGUCGAAAUGCCCCCCAAUGUUUUAACGUUUUGUUAACUUUUUACAAAGCUGUUUUUGUUUCAGCUGAUGCAUGUAUGAUUAUACUAAGUUGAGCAUACUUUUCUUUAAACUUAAAUAAAACUAGUUUUUUGAACGA
Long non-coding RNA from Neoarius graeffei (lesser salmon catfish), 760 nucleotides. RefSeq lists it as uncharacterized. NCBI's taxonomy places the organism in Eukaryota, Metazoa, Chordata, Actinopteri, Siluriformes, Ariidae. The record is from RefSeq and is a predicted model, not a curated record. The transcript is spliced from 6 exons.